This 46-nucleotide non-coding RNA is filed under the name Trichobilharzia regenti. Lineage: Eukaryota; Metazoa; Platyhelminthes; Trematoda; Strigeidida; Schistosomatidae. The record is from RNAcentral.
GUAGUGCUGAAGAGUCCCAAACUAGGACGAAACAGCUGUCCAGUAU